CAGCCCUUGACAUGGUCGGACGGUUUCCAGAGAUGGAUUCCUUCUCUUCGGUGACUGACACACAGGUGCUGCAUGGCUGUCGUCAGCUCGUGUCGUGAGAUGUUGGGUUAAGUCCCGCAACGAGCGCAACCCUCGCCUUUAGUUGCCAUCAUUUAGUUGGGCACUCUAGAGGGACUGCCGGUGAUAAGCCGGAGGAAGGUGGGGAUGACGUCAAGUCCUCAUGGCCCUUACGGGCUGGGCUACACACGUGCUACAAUGGUGGUGACAGAGGGCAGCUAGACCGCGAGGUCGUGCUAAUCCCUAAAAGCCAUCUCAGUUCGGAUUGCACUCUGCAACUCGAGUGCAUGAAGUUGGAAUCGCUAGUAAUCGUGGAUCAGCACGCCACGGUGAAUACGUUCCC
Molecule: ribosomal RNA, 400 nt
Filed under: uncultured bacterium
Lineage: Bacteria
Description: bacterial SSU rRNA
Rfam family: Bacterial small subunit ribosomal RNA
Source: RNAcentral